Molecule: ribosomal RNA, 1426 nt
Filed under: Pseudacris cadaverina (California treefrog)
Lineage: Eukaryota; Metazoa; Chordata; Amphibia; Anura; Hylidae
Description: partial 16S ribosomal RNA
Rfam family: Bacterial large subunit ribosomal RNA
Source: RNAcentral
GCUAAAAAUCUAGCCCCACUGCAAUCUAAUGAACCCAAAAAAUUAAUUUAAUUAAUUAAAACAUUUUUAUAUUUUAGUAAAGGCGAUCAAAAAAAUUAUAUGGAGCUAUAAUAAUAGUACCGCAAGGGAAAGAUGAAAUAAUAAUGAAACAACUUCAAGCACUUUAAAGUAGAGAUUUAACCUCGUACCUUUUGCAUCAUGGUUUAACUAGUCAAAUCAAGCAAAAUGACUUACAGUCUGACCCCCCGAAACUAAGCGAGCUACUUCAGGGCAGCUUAUUGAGCAAACCCGUCCCUGUUGCAAAAGAGUGGGAAGACCUUCAAGUAGCGGUGAUAGACCUAACGAGCUUAGUGAUAGCUGGUUAUUCAAGAAAAGGAUUUUAGUCCAGCCUAAAGAAUUAUUAAUAAUUAUUAUAUAACAGCUUCUUUAGAGUAAUUCAAAUAAGGUACAGCCUAUUUGAAACAGGAUACAACCUCGACCUAAGGGUAAUUACAUACUUUAACAACCAAGUAGGCUUAAAAGCAGCCAUCUUUAAAAAAGCGUCAUAGCUUAAUUGUUAGUACAACUAAUCCCAAAAAUAACUUAGAACCCUUAAUUACUAUUGAAUAAUUCUAUACACCUAUAGAAUAUUUUAUGUUAAAACUAGUAACAAGAAGAAGACCUUCUCUUAAAUGUAAAUGUAAGUCAAAAAGGACUAACCAGUGAUUAUUAACAUCCAUGAACAAAAAUUAGCAACUCACAAGAAAACCCUACUUUUUAUUAUGUUAACCUAACACAAGAACACUUCAAGAAAGAUUAAAAGAAAAAGAAGGAACUCGGCAAAAAUUAACCUCGCCUGUUUACCAAAAACAUCGCCUCUUGAAUAAACAUCUAUAAGAGGUCCAGCCUGCCCAGUGACUCUGUUCAACGGCCGCGGUAUCCUAACCGUGCGAAGGUAGCGUAAUCACUUGUUCUUUAAAUGAGGACUAGUAUGAAUGGCACCACGAAGGUUACACUGUCUCCUUUCUCUAAUCAGUGAAACUAAUCCCCCCGUGAAGAAGCGGGGAUUAAAAUAUAAGACGAGAAGACCCUAUGGAGCUUUAAACUAAACAACACUUGCUUUCACACCUUUAUAUUUAAAAAUAUUAAUAACUAUUACAGCUUUAUGAUUGUUAGUUUUAGGUUGGGGUGACCGCGGAGCAAAACAAAACCUCCACAUUGAACGGGUUUAUAUACCCUGAGCAACGAACUACAAUUCAAUGCACCAAUAAAUUGACAUAACUUGACCCAAUAUUUUGAUCAACGAACCAAGUUACCCUAGGGAUAACAGCGCAAUCCGCUUCAAGAGCUCCUAUCGACAAGCGGGUUUACGACCUCGAUGUUGGAUCAGGAUACCCCAGUGGUGCAGCCGCUACUAAAGGUUCGUUUGUUCAACGAUUAAAAUCCU